Molecule: ribosomal RNA, 352 nt
Filed under: uncultured bacterium
Lineage: Bacteria
Description: bacterial SSU rRNA
Rfam family: Bacterial small subunit ribosomal RNA
Source: RNAcentral
GACGAACGUUGGCGGCGUGCUUAAUACAUGCAAGUCAACUGAAGCACCGGUAGUAAUACUGGUGUGGAGGUGGCGCACGGGUGAGUAACACGUAGGUAAUCUGCCUUCAGGUCUGACAUAACCCCGAGAAAUCGGGGCUAAUAGCAGAUGAUGCAGCGGCUUGACAUCAAGACAGUUGUUAAGGCUUCGGCGCCUGAAGAUGAGCCUGCGUCUGAUUAGCUAGUUGGCGGAGUAAUAGCCCACCAAGGCGACGAUCAGUAGCUGGUCUGAGAGGAUGAUCAGCCACACUGGAACUGAGACACGGUCCAGACUCCUACGGGAGGCAGCAGUAAGGAAUAUUGCUCAAUGGGAG